GAUGAACGCUAGCGGCAGGCCUAACACAUGCAAGUCGAGGGGGAAGUUACUUUCGGGUGACUGAGACCGGCGUACGGGUGCGUAACGCGUAUACAAUCUGCCUUUCACUGGGGGAUAGCCCGAAGAAAUUUGGAUUAAUACCCCAUAGUAUAUAGGGACGGCAUCGUUUUUAUAUUAAAGCUUAGGUGGUGAAAGAUGAGUAUGCGUUCUAUUAGCUAGUUGGAGAGGUAACGGCUCCCCAAGGCGAUGAUAGAUAGGGGUUCUGAGAGGGAUGUCCCCCACACUGGUACUGAGAUACGGACCAGACUCCUACGGGAGGCAGCAGUGAGGGAUAUUGGACAAUGGUCGGAAGACUGAUCCAGCCAUGCCGCGUGCAGGAUGAAGGUCUUAUGGAUUGUAAACUGCUUUUGUAAGGGAAGAAUAAGGGCUACGCGUAGUUUGAUGACGGUACCUGACGAAUAAGCAUCGGCUAACUCCGUG
Molecule: ribosomal RNA, 480 nt
Filed under: uncultured bacterium
Lineage: Bacteria
Description: partial 16S ribosomal RNA
Rfam family: Bacterial small subunit ribosomal RNA
Source: RNAcentral